RNAcentral lists this ribosomal RNA (458 nucleotides) under uncultured bacterium. Its description in RNAcentral is "bacterial SSU rRNA". It matches the Rfam family "Bacterial small subunit ribosomal RNA", at positions 355 to 825 of the family's 1533-position model. The record is from RNAcentral.
UCGAGAAUCUUUCACAAUGGGGGCAACCCUGAUGGAGCGACGCCGCGUGGAGGUUAAGGUCUUCGGAUUGUAAACUCCUGUCAUGCGAGAACAAAGCCCUCACGGGUGUGAUAGUAUCGCAAGAGGAAGAGACGGCUAACUCUGUGCCAGCAGCCGCGGUAAUACAGAGGUCUCAAGCGUUGUUCGGAUUCACUGGGCGUAAAGGGUGCGUAGGUGGUUGGGUAAGUCUGAUGUGAAAUCUCCGGGCCUAACCCGGAAACUGCAUCGGAUACUAUUCGACUGGAGGGUUGGAGGGGGGACUGGAAUACUUGGUGUAGCAGUGAAAUGCGUAGAUAUCAAGUGGAACACCAGUGGCGAAGGCGAGUCCCUGGACAACUCCUGACACUGAGGCACGAAAGCUAGGGGAGCAAACAGGAUUAGAUACCCGCGUAGUCCCUGAGCGGGCUGGCAAGGCGCAU